GCACUCUCACAACUAACCUUUGCUGGUUAAAUUGUGGAAUUGGGAUGCGCCAAUUGUUACUGAUUGGCCCUCCUAAAAUGUAGCUCUUGACUGUGGACUGCUACAGUAGUUUGGCCUAAUAGUUUUGGCACUUGUUUGUCAAAUCUUUGGCUACCUUUACUUUGGUCCAUGCAGUCUUGAUAUACAGAAAACUCUAAUACAA
RNAcentral lists this unclassified non-coding RNA (202 nucleotides) under uncultured Umbelopsis. RNAcentral's name for it is "sequence contains ITS2". The record is from RNAcentral. Lineage: Eukaryota; Fungi; Mucoromycota; Umbelopsidomycetes; Umbelopsidales; Umbelopsidaceae.